AUUGAACGCUGGCGGCAGGCCUAACACAUGCAAGUCGAGCGGAUGAAGGGAGCUUGCUCCUGGAUUCAGCGGCGGACGGGUGAGUAAUGCCUAGGAAUCUGCCUGGUAGUGGGGGAUAACGUCCGGAAACGGGCGCUAAUACCGCAUACGUCCUGAGGGAGAAAGUGGGGGAUCUUCGGACCUCACGCUAUCAGAUGAGCCUAGGUCGGAUUAGCUAGUUGGUGGGGUAAAGGCCUACCAAGGCGACGAUCCGUAACUGGUCUGAGAGGAUGAUCAGUCACACUGGAACUGAGACACGGUCCAGACUCCUACGGGAGGCAGCAGUGGGGAAUAUUGGACAUGGGGCGAAAGCCUGAUCCAGCCAUGCCGCGUGUGUGAAGAAGGUCUUCGGAUUGUAAAGCACUUUAAGUUGGGAGGAAGGGCAGUAAGUUAAUACCUUGCUGUUUUGACGUUACCAACAGAAUAAGCACCGGCUAACUUCGU
This 483-nucleotide ribosomal RNA is filed under the name uncultured bacterium. RNAcentral's name for it is "partial 16S ribosomal RNA". It matches the Rfam family "Bacterial small subunit ribosomal RNA", at positions 30 to 506 of the family's 1533-position model. The record is from RNAcentral.